RNAcentral lists this ribosomal RNA (253 nucleotides) under uncultured bacterium. RNAcentral's name for it is "partial 16S ribosomal RNA". It matches the Rfam family "Bacterial small subunit ribosomal RNA", at positions 524 to 776 of the family's 1533-position model. The record is from RNAcentral.
UACGUAGGGGGCAAGCGUUAUCCGGAUUUACUGGGUGUAAAGGGAGCGUAGACGGCAUGGCAAGUCAGAUGUGAAAGCCCGGGGCUCAACCCCGGGACUGCAUUUGAAACUGUCAGGCUGGAGUGCAGGAGAGGUAAGUGGAAUUCCUAGUGUAGCGGUGAAAUGCGUAGAUAUUAGGAGGAACACCAGUGGCGAAGGCGGCUUACUGGACUGUAACUGACGUUGAGGCUCGAAAGCGUGGGGAGCAAACAGG